UUGACAGCACUAGAAAAUGAAGAUUUCUCUUUGUCCACAGCACAGGAAUAGUGGCAGUGCAAGCUUCCCCACUUUGCCGUGCGAGGGAUCUCCAAACCUGUUUUAGGAGGGCUGUGUGAGGCCAGGCAGGGCCCCCAUGCCCAUUCGGCAAAGGAGCAAAG
Unclassified non-coding RNA from Apteryx haastii (Great spotted kiwi), 161 nucleotides. The record is from Ensembl. Lineage: Eukaryota; Metazoa; Chordata; Aves; Apterygiformes; Apterygidae.